AACUUUCAACAACGGAUCUCUUGGUUCCAGCAUCGAUGAAGAACGCAGCGAAAUGCGAUAAGUAAUGUGAAUUGCAGAAUUCAGUGAAUCAUCGAGUCUUUGAACGCACAUUGCGCCCCUUGGUAUUCCGGGGGGCAUGCCUGUUCGAGCGUCAUUG
This 157-nucleotide ribosomal RNA is filed under the name Melanohalea elegantula. RNAcentral describes it as "5.8S ribosomal RNA". It matches the Rfam family "5.8S ribosomal RNA". From Rfam's summary of the family: 5.8S ribosomal RNA (5.8S rRNA) is a component of the large subunit of the eukaryotic ribosome. Lineage: Eukaryota; Fungi; Ascomycota; Lecanoromycetes; Lecanorales; Parmeliaceae. The record is from RNAcentral.